This 695-nucleotide small RNA is filed under the name Pongo abelii (Sumatran orangutan). RNAcentral's name for it is "retained intron". Lineage: Eukaryota; Metazoa; Chordata; Mammalia; Primates; Hominidae. The record is from RNAcentral.
GCGGGACUACCCUUGGGCUGAACCAGAAAGAAGGUGAUCAACCUGAAAGAGUCCAACCAAUCGCAUCAUCUACCUUGAUCCAUUCCGACCUGACAUCCGUUUAUGGCACCGUGGUAAUGAACAGGACUGUUUUGUUCUUGGGGACUGGAGAUGGCCAGUUACUUAAGGUUAUUCUUGGUGAGAAUUUGACUUCAAAUUGUCCAGAAGUUAUCUAUGAAAUUAAAGAAGAGACACCUGUUUUCUACAAACUCGUUCCUGAUCCUGUGAAGAAUAUCUACAUUUAUCUAACAGCUGGGAAAGAGGUGAGGAGAAUUCGUGUUGCAAACUGCAAUAAACAUAAAUCCUGUUCGGAGUGUUUAACAGCAACAGACCCUCACUGCGGUUGGUGCCAUUCGCUACAAAGGUAUCUCCUGAAUUCUUUCUCACCAACUCGCAUUUUCGAAAAAGUGUCAUGAGGCAGAACACUUGUUGCCCUACUUUAACGAUCCAUUCCAGUGACCUGAGGGAACUGAUCUCUUCCUCGACUAAAAUCUCGUUGUGCAGUCCUAAUGAAUUCUCGAAGAUGUUUCCAGCAGCGUCCGUGCUAUGCAGUCACUGGACCCGGGGACUCCCCAGUCUAGGGGCGGGAGGGGCAGGUGUGUAGCCUUCAGGAGAACGGGCGAGAGCAGGCAGGUUUGGCUUUUACUUUCUCCAGA